This 1817-nucleotide long non-coding RNA is filed under the name Homo sapiens (human). RNAcentral's name for it is "long intergenic non-protein coding RNA 662". Lineage: Eukaryota; Metazoa; Chordata; Mammalia; Primates; Hominidae. The record is from RNAcentral.
ACCCCAGCCAGCAUGGCCGGCAGGAGCGCACCGCGCUGUCUCCCUCCAGGGAUCCGCACCGCCCUACAAUCCUGCUUUGUGCUGAGAUUGUAGUCCUGCAGGCGUACAACUAACAAGCUGGGUGCAGAUAAGAGACUACAGCUCCCCGCAUCCCAAGCAAAGGUCCCUCCUCUACGGAGCCCCUCCACGCGUCCACUGCGGUUCCGCCGUGCCAAGGGGAGCUUGGCUGUUCACGGGCCUCACCUGCUAGCGAGAAGAUAGCUUGGCCGGGCGGCUGAUCUCACCUUGUAAUUCUGACACUGUGUCUCCCGGGCUUGUCGGCUUCAUGACUUGUGCCCAAAGUUUGAUUUCUCGCAGACCAGGAGGACCCAUUGGACCCCCGGGCUGGCUGCAGGGCCCACACCUGGGUUAGACCUCGCACAGGGACGCUGCUGCCACUGUAAUAAAGCGUGCCUACACGCUUCUGAAACUGGUGUAGGAACAACCUCAGUUCUGUGAAAGGCGGACGCAGCAGGACAGAAUCUCCGUGGACAUCUGUCUGGAGGAGCAAUUUUACUGCGACAUUUUAAAGAAACAAAUUUAAUUGAUUUCCAAGGGUGUCCAUCGCGCUUCCUUCACUGCCUUGAUCAUGUCGGGGUCACCACCUGCGGGGGUUUGUCCUGCAGACCCUGACUCAACGACGGAUGAAUAAUGUACACUGACACAGAUCUUAUGCUUGUCAGUCCUGCUGAGCAUCCAGGCCACUUACAGACUCCAAGAAGAGUCCUGUCAGCCACGGCUCUGACUUGUUGGCCCUCCCGGCAUUUAUUUAGCACACAUUUAAUGACAGAAGUCUCAGGCUGGAAACACUCUUUUUGUAGAACAUACAAAUGGACAUUUCUAAGCACAUUGAGGCCUAUAAUGAAAAAUCAAAUAUCCCACAAUGAAAACUAGAAGGAAGCUAUCUGUGAUAAUGCUUUGUGGUGUAUGGAUUCAUCUCACUGACUGAAACCUGAGUUUUGAUUCACCAGGUUAAAAACACUAUUUUUGUAGACUCUACGAAGAAACAUUUCUGAAACCAUUGAAACCUAUGGGGGAAAAAAACCCCCGAAAUUCCUGUGAUAAGAAAUGGAAAGCAGCUAUCUGUGAAAAUGCUUUGUAAUGUGUGGAUUCUUCUCACAGAGUUAAACCUUUGUUCUGAUUCAACAUUGUUCAGAACACUCUUUUUGUAGAAUCUACAGAGAUACUUUUUAGCAUUUUGAGGCCUCUAGUGAAAAACCGAAUGUCCUGCAAUAGAAACUGGAAACAACCUUCUGUGAAAAUGCUUUGUGAUUCGUCUAUUCAUCUCAAAGAAUGAAACUUGUGCUUUGAUUCAACAGGUUGGAAAACCCUUUUUGUAGAAUCUACGUAGGAACAUUUCUGAGCCCAUUGAGGCCUCUAGUGAAAAAACUGAAUAUCCCAGAAUUAAAACUAUAAACAAGCUAUCUGUGAAGAAGCUUUGUAAUAUGUGCAUUCAUCUAACAGAUAUAAGCGUGUAUUUUGAUUUGCCUGGUUGGGAACACUCUUUUUGUACAGUCUAUAAAGAAACAUUUCUGAGUGCAUUGAGUCAUAUGUUGAAAAAUCGAAUAUCUCGUGAUAAAAACUAGGCAGGAGGUAUCUGUGAAAAUGCUUUGAGAUGUGUGGGUAUUGGCCUCACAGAGUUAAACUUUUGUUUUGAUUCAACAGUUUGGAAACAUACUUUGUAGAAUCUACAAUGACAUAUUUCUGAGCCCAUUGAGGCCUGUAGUGAAAAACCGAAUAUCCCAUGAUAAAAACUCAAAACAAGCGAUAUGUGAAAA